Molecule: unclassified non-coding RNA, 8233 nt
Organism: Orbicella faveolata
Lineage: Eukaryota; Metazoa; Cnidaria; Anthozoa; Scleractinia; Merulinidae
Source: RefSeq, a predicted model, not a curated record
UUGGAUUACAUUGCUGUAAAAAGGUUAUUCUACUAAUAGGACAGGCAUAAGAUAAGAUUAUUACGUUUGUUGUGUAGUUUUUCAGUACUGGAAAUGAGCUUCCACUUUGAAUACACAACUAUUGUACGUCCACUCUCCCCACCUAGGGGGGAAAAUAGGAAGUCAAAACGAAAAAAAAAAUUAAAACUGUGGAUUACCCAACCCGUUUUAAAAAAGCUACAUAGUACUAGUUUCCAGGAUAGAACGCAUGUUCUUUUUAACGUCUCUUUUUUCCUUGCCUGGUGAUGUAAUACCUCUCUUUACUUAUCCUUCUUUCUUUCCGCGCAAUGAGUCUACAUACAGGCUGGUGAAGACCUAACUCUUUCCAGUUCACAUAUGGACAGCAAGUGCGCCCAGCCAGCGACUGAUCGAUCAGGGAACUGAAGAUAGCCUGCGAGCAGGCUCACGUUGGAGCACAAGCGCGCGGCGAAGCCGUGAGCGCGAAAUCGAGCGGCGAAGCCCUGAGACGAGAAACGAGGCGAGACGAGACUUUCUUGGCGCCUCUUCACCAGACUCUUUCCCGUCGGAUCGCUUUGUUAUUCGCCGCUUGUGCGUGUGACUCAAAGGUGAACCUGCUCGCAGAGUAUGGGAGGAUAGCGAUUGCCUUUCACGCAGACGCUCUUGAGCUCGUCACGCAAUCUUCCUCCCCUGCGAACGUCGUCAUGGUUUGCGUUCGGUUGUGUCUAAAGGCCAGAUGUGACCGGAUUGUGCAAAGGGCCUAUUCCUUUUCGUAACACCAUGGUCGCCUAAUUUGCAUUCAUGUCUCACAGGCAACAACGGUUGUAUGAGGUUUACUGCCAGCUGUACUGCAGCUGCUGUAUCAGCAAAGCAGAAUUACGAUCGAGGGAAAUAGACAGACAAAUUGCUGAAGAUAAUCGUCGACACCGUAGCCAGAUAAACGUCUUAGUUUUAGGGGCCCCAGGAAGCGGGAAAAGCACGUUCCUCAAGCAAGCAAACGUCUUAUUUGGUAAAGAUUUCAAGAACGACGAAUUAGAUGAAUUUCGUCCCAUAAUUUAUAGUGGCAUUUUACUGCGAAUUAGGGUCCUGGCUAAUGAGCGAAGGAAGUUGAAACUGGAAUGGCAAGAUCCUUCGAACCAAAAGCACGAAGAAAAGAUCUUGAAUUUCCAAGCGCCUCAACACGUCGACACAGAUAAGUUUAUGAGCUACUUUGAAAGUAUUAAGAGUCUUUGGUUGGAUAAAGCAGUUCAAGAUGUGUAUGCGGGAAGAGGAAGAUUACAGCUGGGGGAAUCCUCAGAAUAUUUUUUCCAACAAUUGGACCGAGUUGGUCACCCGGAAUACUUGCCCACAAAGGUGGAUGCUCACUAUGCGAAAGCAGCAGAAGGCCUUGGCGGCAUAACAAGGCAUGAGGUUAACUUUUACGAUACUACGUUGAACAUGAUCCAUAUUGGUGACCAGAAGUAUUCCAGCCCUAACACUAAGUGGCAGAGAUUUCCUUGUUUUGAAAAUGCGGAGUCCAUUCUGUUCCUCGUGUCGUGUAUUGCUUACGACCAAUUCCUCAUGGACGGAACAACGAAUUGUCUUGUGGACUCAUGUGACCUCUUUGAUACAAUAAUCAACAGCUUUUUCUUUGCCCAUAAGUCAGUCAUCCUUUUCUUCACCAAGGCAGACCUUUUAGAGGAAAAGAUCAAACACUCGAACAUAAAGGAAUACUUCCCAGAGUUUCAGGGAGAUCCACGAAAACUAGAAGAUGUGCAAGGCUUUCUUUUUCAGAUGUUUGAUGACAGGCGACAAGAGAAUUCUCGCGCUCUCUUCCGCGGCCAUCACUUCAUGACAACCAGUGACCCAAACAAUAUCACAUUGCUUUUUCACAUAAUUAGGGAUACUUAUCCGUGUAAGGGUUGCCUUUAUAGAUUUGCAUUGUUGUAGUUUUGACUAAGUGAGCCCAGUUUUUCUUAAAUCGCUGUAAACCCUGUGUAAAAUACAAGAAAAUAGUGUUUUUUUUAACUUGAAUGAACGAACGAACGAACGAACGAAUGAAUGAAAACUUUGUUUAUACCACGGUAAAAAUACCAGUACAUAAUAAUAGAAAAAAACAGAAACAUUUUCUAUCUACUAGUUUACAUAUCUGCCGUGUGUCACAUAUCUGCAGUGUGGGAGUCCCGAUGCAGAGAACCAUAUAUUAAUACUUCUUUUGAAGAGGUCUAAGGAUUUUGUAGUACAAAGUUUCUCGGGAGGAUCGUUUCAUAGAGAAGCUCCGCUGUAACUGACGCUUCGCUUUAGGUAGUCGGUUCUUGGUUUCGGUCAGGAGGUAGAUACAAUUUUUGAGUAGCGUCGCGAAUCGAAGAUCAAAGGACGAAUUUCGGAGUAAACUUGUUACAAAGAUAAACUGGGGCGAGCUUAUUAACGCAUUUGUACAUUAAAUUUGCCUUUUGCUUCGCCCUUCUAACUGAUAAGUUAUCCCAGCUAAGCGAGAUAAGAAGAUAGCUAGAGUUCGUAUCAUAACUUGAUUUAUUAAUUACUCUGGCAGCACGAUUUUGUAGUUUUUGAAGUUUCUCACUUAGCAGCUGAGACAAGCAUCCCAACUGAACACUGCAAAACGCUGACUUGCUUAUGUGCACCGAUACUGGAAGCGACUUUUUUCGAAAUUGCAUUUAUGUGCUCCUUCCAGGAUAGGUUUUCAUCUAUGUUCAGUCCGAGAGCUUUGCUAUGAUCUGUUUGGUUCAUUUUGACGUCGUCUGCAGUAAUAUUUAUUGUCUCGUCAUUUAAAGACUCCAGUUUUUGACGCGAGCUAAUGCGCAUAAACGCACUUAGUUUUAGCAACAUUGAGGCUUAACUUGUUGGCUCUGAGCCAGAGAUUAAUGCUUUUAAGUUCACUAUUGAUUUGGGUCUCAAGAUCAGUCAUGUUAGAUGCAGCAAAAGUAACAUUAGUGUCAUCAGCAUACAUUGUAGGGGAGCCUAUAGGUUCGAGCGCUUAAGUCUCUAAUAUAGAUAAAAAAAAUAGACGACCAAUUAUUGAUCCUUGGAGAACUUCGGGCUUGCGCUGGAAAGGUGAUUCAAUGUUUACGUUGCCUCGUUGCAUACGAUUCGUCAGGUAAGACUUGAACCUUUUUAGGACCCCAUAUUUAGCAAGUUUUUACAAGAUGAUUUUAUGAUCUAUAGUGUCAAAGCCUUCUUUGAAUCAAUGAAAAUUACACCAUUGAGAAGACCGUUGUCAACAUUGACACACCAGUUAUUGCUAGUCUCCAACAAGACAGUAAGAGUACUGUGUUGAGAUCGAAAGCCAGACUGGCAAUUGGUUAAUAAAUCAUUUGCAUUUAGAUAAUUGUAUAGUUGGUCAUAGAUAAUUUUUUCAAAGAUUUUGGCCACAGCAAACAACAGGUAACAGGAAUCGGAAGAAGGUGGAGCUCUCAUCCAAAACAAUCUACUUCAUGCUCGUUUCUUAGUCGACUCUUUUUCCGAAUCGAAGUGUAAAUAGCUUCCUAGGCAGACGGUCUUUUGGAAGGAGUGCGCGAUGAUCCAUAGGAAGGAAAAGUUUUAACUGCUUUGCAAGUACGAAAGAAGCUUUUACAUUGUAACAUUGUUUGGUUGCGAUCUUUACCGGGAUGAAUACCCAGACUGCUAUUCGGUCUCACGCGUCAUUCGAAUGCUCGGAAUGAGUUGUGACAAGGCUGUCUUUGUUGUGACUUGAGAUACACAAUAUUGAGACCCAUUGACGACUAAUGUAUUGCAUAAUGACUUACGUUGGUAAGCACGAAACAGGAAAGUAGGUGUAUUUAGAAGAAUAAAAGUGGGUGUAUUUUUGAAAGCGGAAGUGGAAGAAAUCGGAAGCAGCCCUUACGAAUAGCGGAUAUGAUAUACUAGUUUGACGUUGUACAAUUACCGCCUUCUGCUCCCGCGAAAGCGGAACUGUUAAACAUUAUUUCAAACAAACUUGAAAAGUUUACAUAACAAAACAAAGACGGCUUUCCAAAUCGUACUGGUAACGCGAACAAUCAAUCAUCACCAACCCAAAUAGAUUCUGUUUUCAGCCUAUUGUGAGAUAGCAAGGCUAUUUUUAUUCUGUCGAGGACUUUAAUAAUAAUAUUAUUACAAGAUUGUUUGCUCAUUUAUAUAUCUGUUUAUCAACACGGAUGUCAUUUAUCAGCAAACAAGGAAACAUAAGUGUGCCCCUGUAAUGAACGACGAGAUUUAUUGAUCCGGAAUGUUAAAACGUGCAUAGAUAAAAUUCCCUUUAUAAACAGGUUUGUGAAUGAAAGUUUUUCAAGGGCUGACGCUUUCCAUGAAGGAAGUUUGUUGCUAAAACAUGGUUUGUCAAAGGGUUUGGCAGAAAAUACUUUUAUUCUCCUUUAUGUCUAGCUAAACUUAGCUGACAUUAGGAGCCCAUGCUGACGUUGUAAACGCACCAGAUUUAUUGGAAUUAAUUAUUGUAAUGUAUGUCAAAAUAAAUUUAAUUGAGAAAGGCUAAUUCCCAGUCCUUCCCAAAUCCGGCACUCUGCCAAAGUAACCCUUCCGUCAUUUCUGUUCAUAGCAUAGCUUGCUCUGAAAAAAAUUCACGCUAUGAAAUACUCCCGGGGUAAACACUGAGCAGGUUUCAAGUGAACGUCUAUAUGUUAGCCAUGAUUUGGUAGCAGUAAAGGCAACUUUAUGGGGUUCGUUUACUCUAAAAUUGUAAAACUAAACUCGUAUGGGAGAGGGCUUUUAGUUACGUCAAACGGAUUGGAAGAGAUCCUUUAAUUCCACUUAUUGGUGUUUUCAGCGAAAAAAGAUACCAGAAAAACAUAUACUAGGCAAUAUAUAUCAAUCUUAGUGUCCAUUUCGCAGGUCUGUUAAGUACAUUAUUUCCCUACUCAGUGGACUUAAGCUGUUUUUUUCUACUCGUCAAUUUCUCGACAAAGAGGUGCAAUGGCAAUAUUUCAAAACGUUACAUUUGCUAAUUUCUCGACCUGUGACGUGAAUUAACAUUGAUUAGAUCAUUUGUAAGGUGUCAGCAUUUGCGUCCACAGUUAUUGUAAAUUCCAGUGAAAAAAUAAUGAAUAUAUGGUGAAAGCCAAAUCUUUGCUAAUUGAAAAAUAAUAUAUUCCAAAUGUCAGAAAAAACAACAAGAACAACAACAGAAACAGAAAUGCAUGCACAAUUCCGAUGAAAACAAACACUCAUCUAUAUACUUUAAGGCAAUGUCAUAGUUAUGACUAACUAUUGAAGGGAAAAUUUAAAGUUAAUUUUCGUGGAAAGCUGGCAUGGAUGGAAAUAAUCAGACCAAGCGACCUCAAGUUCUAGUUUAUCCUCCAUUUUAACAUGUUCCUAUCUUGACAGCAAGUGUACAUCGUAUCUGUUUUAAGCUUUCAAGCGGUAGAUGUGUUUAAUAUUCAAUGUUCUCUUACUGACAUUGAUUUAAAAUUAUUGGCUUUAAACUGGACUUGAAAAGAAAAGGGCAAAUCGUUGAGCAAUAACUCGAAAAUGUUGAGAACUAUGUUGUCAUGCUUUGCUUGUCUUAGUUGCUAUUGUUAACAGUUUAAUUGUUUUCCCUUGCCUCAUUUUCGAAAAUAUCCUUAAAACCAGUAAUUAGCUUUCCUGGAGCUUACCCGGAGCAACAAAAAUGUGUUAGAUAUAAUUAGCGACGAAAAUCAGGUCUCGAAACGUGUUAAAAUACGUGUUCCUUCCGGUAAGCUCUUUUAUUGGUCGGUCUGAUCAAAGGCCAUGUUCUCCAUAGCUCGCAACCCUCAGUGGGUGUGGAUUUUGCAGUCAGUUGCAGCCUCAGUGUCGGCCAUAAUGGUGUUCGAUGCGUGCUGCCUCAGCCAAGAGGAGGCUGAACAGAAAGCCAGAUCAAGAAAAAUAGAUAGGCAAAUCGCUCAAGAGAAAGUUCAAUAUCGUCGUCAAGUUAAAGUCUUGCUUUUAGGUGCCGGAGAGAGCGGGAAGAGCACUUUCCUUAAGCAAAUGCGCAUCAUUCAUGGCCAGGAUUUCGACAGCGAUGCAUUGAAUGAAUUUCGCCCCAUCAUUUAUGGUAACAUCCUCAAGGGGAUGAAGGUCCUGGCUGAUGCUCGAAGGAAGUUGAGACUAGAAUGGCAAGAUCCCUCGAACCAAAUGUACGCAGAAAAGAUCUUGAAUUUCCAAGCGACGCAACACAUCGACACGGAUAUGUUCAUGAGUUACUUCGAUUGUGUGAAGAGGCUUUGGCGGGAUAAAGGCAUUCAAGAUGCGUACGACAGAAGAAGAGAAUUUCAGCUGGGCGAUUCAUCUAAAUAUUUCCUCGACCAUUUGGAACGGGUUGGUCGGCCGGAUUACUUGCCUACAAAGCAGGAUGUUCUUCAUGCAAGAAAAGCAACAAAGGGUAUUGUUGAACACGAGUUCAUCAUCAAGGGAAUCCCAUUCAAAAUGGUUGAUGUUGGUGGCCAGAGAUCACAAAGAGCCAAGUGGUUUCAGUGCUUUGACGAGGUCACAUCCAUUCUUUUCCUAGUGUCAUCAAGUGCUUAUGACCAAGUUCUAAUGGAAGAUAGAACAACAAAUCGUCUUGUGGAGUCAUGCAACAUCUUUGAGACAAUAGUCAACAACAAAUUCUUUGCCAAUGUGUCAAUCAUCCUUUUUCUAAACAAGACUGAUCUUUUAAUGGAAAAGAUCAAAUAUGCAAACAUAAAGGACUACUUCCCAGCUUUCCAGGGUGAUCCCCGAAAGCUGGAAGAUGUGCAGAACUUCAUUUUACAAAUGUUUGAUAGCAAGCGACGAGAGAGGUCUAAAGCUCUUUUUCAUCACUUUACGACGGCCAUUGACACAGAAAAUAUCAAGUUUGUUUUCCAUGCAGUAAAGGACACUAUAUUACAGGACAAUUUGAAGUCACUGAUGCUGCAGUAACUCAAAGUCACAAAGAACAGUGUUGUGUGUUCAAGAUAUUGCAAUUUAAAAAGGGUAUUAUGUUGGGGUAGAAGGGAUAAUGAGAUGCAAACAAUGACAAGUUGAGGUGUUCAUGUGCCAAAAUCAGUCAUUAGGCAGCAACAAGGCUACGACAUUUCAGUUUGUUUGAUUAUGCCUGUAAGAAUACUUAGAUAAGAAGAAAGCAAAAUUGCUAAAGCAUACACAACAAGAGACACUCUUGUAGACUGCUAAAAAAGCAACUUUUUUUACUUAUUUGUUAGAGUAAUUUGAAAAUAUUCUGGUUGAUAUGUGUAGGCUAGGCUUGUUUAGGUUGUGAAUUUUUCUAUUGUAAUUGUGUAUAGUCAAUAUUAAAACAUAAUAUAGUCUGCAGUGAUUGUCACAGAGGAACGGGCCAAUCUUCAUUGAAACUGGUUUUCAUCAGUCGUUUGAUAAUAGUAACAUUAUAUAGUUUGAUAAAAGCUAUUAUAACUUAUGAAGCUUCCCUGCAGUGAGUUGAGACCAGCACAAAAGUCUCAAAAAUAUAUUAAGGAUGUACAUUGUUGCAACAUAGUGCACAGGCAAAGAUUAUAUGGAUUACAGGAAAGUGGAGGAGAUUCUUUAUGCAUCAAAUUAUCUAGCUUGGCUUAGUCAUGUUUUCUGUGGAGACAUCCACCUAAGUUCAAUGAAGAGAACAAAUAUUUAUAGUCAAACAGUAGGUUCUUCUUAGAUUGAACCUCUCACAUCUAGAAAGAUAAAUGAUCAACAAGAGCUGUUUUAUGUUUGAAUUCUUCCAUGUUCUUCCACUUUUCUCUAAUGUUCUGCUACUUUGCCAAGACAAACUGAACACUUCCAGUGCGUAUAGGGCAUUCUGGAAGUAGAAAAUGGCUGUGCAUACUUCAAGAAGGGAUCAAUUUAUCACUACAUGGCUUGAAGUUGAAUCCACUGUUGAAUUAUAUUUGAAACUGCUUGAAAGGGAGAGAGCUUUCACAUAUAAUGAAGUAUCACUGGGAGCCAGUGAUUCAAUGUGUGUCAGCAUAUUAACCAAAAUUAACAAUGAUUUAUGAUAUAAUUCAAAUUAAACUAAUUACAGUAGUAGUAAUAAGGACAAGUUGUUGACUUUUUAUAGAAAUGACAAACAAAAGCCUCUUAUAUUUUAAGAAUCUAGAACAGUUAGUAACAGCAAGAAGUGUAUGUAAGGUAUUUCCUAAAACAAGAUAAAUUCAUUGAUUUAGGAAGUGUACUAUACAGUGUAAAAACAAGGGUGAAGCUUUAAAUGGUAGACAUCACCCUAAGAAAGAACAUGUUCAAGAGACUCUCAUUGUAAUGCUCUUAGAUGUUGAGUUAAAUGUCAAAUACAUUUCUACUUAAUAUUUGUUUCUCUGCCCAA